RNAcentral lists this long non-coding RNA (1179 nucleotides) under Numida meleagris (helmeted guineafowl). RNAcentral's name for it is "lncRNA (ENSNMEG00000008395.1)". Lineage: Eukaryota; Metazoa; Chordata; Aves; Galliformes; Numididae. The record is from RNAcentral.
GUUUAGAGAACUAAAACCAAACAGACAAAUUUCAAGUAUACCUUAAUGACUGAGAAUGCCUGAUUAUCUAUAAAUACUGGUGUGAUUUAGUUUGUGGUUUUUUUUUGUCCUAGCACUUCAAGAACGAUCCAGAUAUACAAAUCCAGCAUCGAUAUCUCAUGAGUGAUUAGUCUGCUGUGAACAUUUGGAUGCAUUCAAGAAAGGACGUAGGAGAAGUGGGCUCGUGUUCAGUUUUCAGGAUUUUAAUUCAUUUCAGUCCUCAUCAAUCCUUUAUACUUCAGAGAGUGCAAGGACAUCAGGUUGUUGCCUGAAAGCAAAGUUCAUGGCAUGAUCAUGAAGCACUGGCAGAUCACUAACUAGUUCUUCAGAAAAAAAACAGGAAUGCCUCCAGCUUCUCCAGUGACUUGCCCAGAAAUGAGAGAUCAUGUUUUCUUGCCCUUUACUGGUGCCUGAACCUGCCCCUCUCCCACACUGCCAGGAGCCUGUUUUAACCUGUAGUGCCAAUCAUGUUGCGUCUUCUCAAAGCUUCAGCUCAGUCAAGGAGUUUCCAUCAGCAUGAAGACACAGGAUCUUUUGUACAUUAAGAAACAGCCUACACUUUCCCCAAGGUAAGGCUGGAGCUUGUCUGAUUAAACAAUCAGAGAUCCCAUUUGGUUGGCUUUUUGUCUGUGACACUUCCUUUUGUCUUCCAAUUUAUUGUCAUAAGCAGUGGGACUGAAGGAAGAUUUAAUUUAAAUCUGAUUAAAUUAUGGCAAAGCUUGAAACAUGUUAACAAUCCCCUCUGCUUAGCAGAAGAGAUAUAUUUCCAAGCCAAAAUAUAUCCAGGAGAAGGCAGAAAUCCAGGGCUGUGUUCAGACUUCCUUUAAGGGGUGCCCAGUUUAAAUUUCAGCUUACUAUAGGACCUCAGUUUGAGGGAGACUGAUGUCAAGAGUUUCUUAUAAUGUUGCUCAUUUUAUCACAUCUUGUGGUAUCCUCACAAAAGCCACAACAAAAAUAUCUGCUUUUUGUAGUAUCUGCUGGAUGUAAUUCUUGAGCCACAAAACUCAUAGGAGGAGUGUAAUUUUCCUUGUAAAUAUAGACUUCCUAUGUCAAAAGCAUAUGAAAACCUCUCAGUAAUGUUAGGUUUUGAUUGUCUCCCCAUAUCCUCUGCUCCAUACCUUAUAGCUUUUUCAGAUCUGC